This 69-nucleotide transfer RNA is filed under the name Ictidomys tridecemlineatus (thirteen-lined ground squirrel). RNAcentral's name for it is "Spermophilus tridecemlineatus (thirteen-lined ground squirrel) tRNA". It matches the Rfam family "tRNA". Rfam says of the family: Transfer RNA (tRNA) molecules are approximately 80 nucleotides in length. Their secondary structure includes four short double-helical elements and three loops (D, anti-codon, and T loops). Lineage: Eukaryota; Metazoa; Chordata; Mammalia; Rodentia; Sciuridae. The record is from Rfam by way of RNAcentral.
GGGGUUGUAGCUCAGCGGUAGAGCACUUGCCUCACAUGUGAGAGGCCCUGGGUUUGAUCCUCAGCACCA